GAUGAAGAACGCAGCGAAAUGCGAUACUUGGUGUGAAUUGCAGAAUCCCGUGAACCAUCGAGUCUUUGAACGCAAGUUGCGCCCGAAGCCACUAGGCCGAGGGCACGCCUGCCUGGGCGUCACACGCCGUUGCCCCCCCAUCUACUCCUUCGGGAUUGCGGGGGGGCGGAUGAUGGCCUCCCGUGCGCCUAGCCGCGCGGUUGGCAUAAAUACCAAGUCCUCGGCGACGCACGCCACGACAAUCGGUGGUUGCGAAACCUCGGUUGCCCGUCGUGUGCGUUCGUCGCGCAUUGAGGGCUCGAAAAAAUGCUCGGCUCCGGCUGGGCUUUCAACGCGACCCCAGGUCAGGCGGGGUUACCCGCUGAAUUUAAGCAUAUCAAUAAGCGGAGGA
RNAcentral lists this unclassified non-coding RNA (391 nucleotides) under soil metagenome. RNAcentral's name for it is "partial contains 5.8S ribosomal RNA, internal transcribed spacer 2, and large subunit ribosomal RNA". The stretch from base 1 to 122 matches the Rfam family "5.8S ribosomal RNA", at positions 35 to 154 of the family's 154-position model. The record is from RNAcentral.